UCUCCUGCAGAGAUUCUGGUGGGACUAUGAUCUGUUCAUCCAGCAUAUCAUGAAGCUUCGGCCCCACCGGACCACAUAAGAGGACCUGAGAGAAAACAGCACACUUUAGUAAACUAUAAUCAGAAAGAAAAAUAAUGAAAAAGUCAUAAGGGUUUGGAACAUCAUAAAGAGUGCUUUAACCUCUUCAAACCUCUUGACGCCCCGGAGCCAGGAUGUGGGGUUCACUGAUGGCAAACACUCGACAGCUCCAGCAUUAGCCACGGUCUGACAGAUCUGAAAAUAUCAGAGACAGACACGGAAGGUAGACAUUCUUCAUUUGAGAACAACAGUGGCAAAGGUGGUGAUUUAUGGCAAACUCUGGAUAUAAACAAGGACUAUCAUGACAGCAAACUCUGCCAGAAUCUCGGCUAUUUAUCAAGAGCAUAUGUGAAGCUGAGCUACAGAAGGCCAAGGCUGACAGCGCACACAUCACACUCUAUCUGAGGUUUAAUUACUCUCAAAGCUGUUCUAGAGCUGUGUGAAACGUCCACAACAUAAUUACACCAUCAUGGCUCAUUUGAAGGAUAACCACAUGGAAUGAUGAGAUUAUUGGUCCAGAUUUGAUUUGCACUUCAGACAAAUUUCAGAUGGGAAUGUAUUUAAAGGAAUAUUCCAUC
Long non-coding RNA from Carassius carassius (crucian carp), 656 nucleotides. RefSeq lists it as uncharacterized. The transcript has 4 exons. The record is from RefSeq and is a predicted model, not a curated record. NCBI's taxonomy places the organism in Eukaryota, Metazoa, Chordata, Actinopteri, Cypriniformes, Cyprinidae.